RNAcentral lists this ribosomal RNA (447 nucleotides) under uncultured bacterium. RNAcentral describes it as "partial 16S ribosomal RNA". It matches the Rfam family "Bacterial small subunit ribosomal RNA", at positions 29 to 523 of the family's 1533-position model. The record is from RNAcentral.
AACGAACGCUGGCGGCAGGCUUAACACAUGCAAGUCGAGCGCCCCGCAAGGGGAGCGGCAGACGGGUGAGUAACGCGUGGGAAUCUACCCAUCACUACGGAACAACUCCGGGAAACUGGAGCUAAUACCGUAUACGUCCUUCGGGAGAAAGAUUUAUCGGUGAUGGAUGAGCCCGCGUUGGAUUAGCUAGUUGGUGGGGUAAUGGCCCACCAAGGCGACGAUCCAUAGCUGGUCUGAGAGGAUGAGCAGCCACACUGGGACUGAGACACGGCCCAGACUCCUACGGGAGGGAGCAGUGGGGAAUAUUGGACAAUGGGCGCAAGCCUGAUCCAGCCAUGCCGCGUGAGUGAUGAAGGCCCUAGGGUUGUACAGCUCUUUCACCGGUGAAGAUAAUGACGGUAACCGGAGAAGAAGCCCCGGCUAACUUCGUGCCAGCCGCCGCCGUAA